AGCGAACGCUGGCGGCAGGCCUAACACAUGCAAGUCGAACGAACUCUUCGGAGUUAGUGGCGGACGGGUGAGUAACACGUGGGAACGUGCCUUUUGGUUCGGAAUAACUCAGGUAAACUUGUGCUAAUACCGAAUGUGCCCUUCGGGGGAAAGAUUUAUCGCCAUUAGAGCGGCCCGCGUCUGAUUAGCUUGUUGGUGAGGUAACGGCUCACCAAGGCGACGAUCAGUAGCUGGUCUGAGAGGAUGACCGGCCACACUGGGACUGAGACACGGCCCAGAAUCCUACGGGAGGCAGCAGUGGGGAAUCCUGCGCAAUGGGCGAAAGCCUGACGCAGCCAUGCCGGGUGAAUGAUGAAGGUCUUAGGAUUGUAAAAUUCUUUCACCGGGGACGAUAAUGACGGUACCCGGAGAAGAAGCCCCGGCUAACUUCGUG
This 433-nucleotide ribosomal RNA is filed under the name uncultured bacterium. RNAcentral's name for it is "partial 16S ribosomal RNA". It matches the Rfam family "Bacterial small subunit ribosomal RNA", at positions 29 to 507 of the family's 1533-position model. The record is from RNAcentral.